Molecule: long non-coding RNA, 759 nt
Organism: Oncorhynchus tshawytscha (Chinook salmon)
Lineage: Eukaryota; Metazoa; Chordata; Actinopteri; Salmoniformes; Salmonidae
Source: Ensembl
GGGUAUCGCUUCUCGGCCUUUUGGCUAAGAUCACGUGCAGUGUCCCUGACAGUGCUGCACUUGAUCAGAGAAGCGAUCGCAGGCCGGAGGGCGCCCGGGAGUUGUGCUAUUUAUUUUUGUUGAAAAUUAUUAUUCUUGUAUUGUUUCACUAUUGUUUUUGUCCUGGGUUAGGUGGUGGUUCUGGUGGUGGACUACAGGUGCACCAGCACCUGUAGGGAAAUGGGGGGAUAAGUGGCAGCACGGGCCCUCCAUUUGGAGUGGCUCCAAUUUUAACAAGAACGACGGUGUUGCCAUUUUAAUCAAGACCCCACAGGUGGUGGUGAAGGGGAGCACGGUGGUGGAUCGGGAACCAGUAUGUCCAGUGCGCGGGCUCGCUAUAGGUGAGCCCACAACGGUUUGGCGCAACGUGGCCCACCCUGCUCUCCUGAAUCGGCAUCGGGACCUGUCCUGGAUGGUCGCCCACGAGAUCCUCCCGGUCAGGGCCGUUAUGCACUCACGGGGCAUGGCGAGGACAUCCGCGUGCCCCCGACCAGGCUGCGGCCAAGAAGAGUCGGUGAGGCACAUGCUCUGGGAGUGCAGAGCCGCCAGGGACCUGUGGAAGGAAGCAGGCCCCCUGAUCACCUCGUGUCUGCCAGCAGGGGAGGACCUAACACCUCAGCUCGUGCUGUAUGGGGUGGGCCGAAGGCCCAUUUCAUCGAAGACCUUCACCAAGCUCUGGCCCACCCUCACGUGCCUGAAGGAAGCACUGUGGUCCUCCCG